Molecule: long non-coding RNA, 1443 nt
Filed under: Felis catus (domestic cat)
Lineage: Eukaryota; Metazoa; Chordata; Mammalia; Carnivora; Felidae
Description: lncRNA (ENSFCAG00000046807.1)
Source: RNAcentral
AAUAGGACUUUGCACAUUUAUUUGUUAAUUUACUCACUUGACAAAUGUUUAUUGUGCUGCACAAGCUCUAGGUUCUGAGGAUAAAACAGUGAACCAAUCAAAUAUCCCUCAUGGAGCUGCUCUUCUAGCAGGGUGGUGGCUGUAUGUGAAUAUUUUAUUUUCUUUGGAAGUUUGUUGCCUUUGAACUAUGGGUAUUUGCUGCAAGUUUAGAACACUGGCUUGUCUAACUAAUCAGUUUGUGCUUCUUAGAAGAUUUCAGACAGGUGUCAGGAAAGAUACUGAGAUAAAGGUUAAGUGUGCAAACACAAGUUUGUAACUUGCAACACAAGUUACAGAAGUGCUUUGCCUUUCCUGAGGGAAUACUUUGAAAAGUCAUACAAAUUAUGCACAGUUUGGCAAGAAGUGGGGAAGAAAGGCAGAGAAGUGGUUCAGAGAACUUUGCUACUACCAGAAGUAAAGGGUGAGAAGAAAACCAAUAGGAAAGAAGUGGUCCACAUCGUUUAUAGGGAAGGAUGUAGAACUGAAGGAAUAUGAAACGCAUGGCAUUAGUUCAGGAAGCAGAAAGUUAGAUUUGGAAGAGAAGUGCUCCUCGUGGCCGCUUGAUGAUGAAUGUGCAAGAAUUUGUCUCUUCCUACUUUGAAACUAACGUUCAGGUUGUUUGUUGUACAGAACCCUGGAAUCUACCCAGGAAGAGGAUCAGCUGAGGAAGACAAGACAGCCAACGACGGCUUCUUUGCAAUACACGGAGCUACGUUUGCCCAUGAAGACACCAUGAAGAGGACAGUUCCACUGACCAUAAAUUUUAGAACCAGUGUGGUCAACGAAAGAAGGAACAAAAGGAAAAGCUGAUAUGCAGAUGGCUGGUCGUUAAAAACUUUCUGCUUUUAAGGUAAUGACCAAAUUGCUAGUGUUGAAUGAAGGAUGGGUGGAAAAUAGUUCAUUGAUCCUGUUUACUUGCAGUAUUCAUUUUGAGUAAAUAUUAAGCUCUACAACUUCACAUAUGUUAAUAUAUUUAUGUUUCACUGAGGAUUAAACAAGAAAAGAAAGAAGGAUUAGGUCUAAAAUCAGUUUGUAAGUUUAAUGUAAUAUAACAGCAGGCUUGACAUCCAGAAGGCAUCCUCGGCAGUGGGAUAUCACCCCCAAGGGGCACAAAUGGGUUCUUGGAGAGGAAACGAUACUCUUUUUAUGUAUAAAGCCCAGGCACGCACACAAUACAUAGAGAGAUAAACACCACAUCUCUCAAGUUAAAGUUUCAUGGGACAGAUGACAAUUAUGAAAAGAUAUCUAACAGGCUCCUUGGGGAGUGAUAAUGGAAAGAUCAAGAAACACUUUUGCUAGAGCAUUGCUCUUGAUUGGACACUAUGAAUGCAGUUCAACAUUGCAUUUGUUGUUUUAGCUCCCAUAGUCCAUGCAUUUAUUUAAAUAAAACUCACCAGUUUUACA